CGGUAAUUCCAGCUCCAAUAGCGUAUACUAAAGUUGUUGCAGUUAAAAAGCUCGUAGUUGGAUUUCUGCGGGGACGGAGCGGCCGGACGCAACUUGCGUCUCGAGCUAGCGCUUUCCCCGCAUCCUGCCGCGAACCGUGCUACCAUUAGCUUGGUGGCGCUGGGGAUCGGCUCGAUUACUUUGAGAAAAAUAGAGUGUUCAAAGCAGGCCACACGCCUUGAAUAAGUUAGCAUGGAAUAAUGACUAAGGACUUCGGUUCUAUUUUGUUGGUGUUCGGGACUGAAGUAAUGAUUGAUAGGGACAGUUGGGGCGGUCUGUAUUCCAAAGCGAGAGGUGAAAUUCUUAGACCUUCGGAAGACAAACAGCUGCGAAAGCGUUCCGCAAGGAUGUUCCCUUUGAUCAAGAACGAAAGUUGGGGGAUCGAAGACGAUCAGAUACCGUCGUAGUCUCAACUAUAAACUAUACCAGCUAGGGAUCGGUCAACGUUUAAUCAUUCGACUUGAUCGGCACCUUAUGAGAAAUCAAAGCAUCUGGGUUCCGGGGGGAGUAUGGUCGCAAGGCUGAAACUUAAAGGAAUUGACGGAAGGGCACCACCAGCCGUGGAGCCUGUGGCUUAAUUUGACUCAACACGGGAAAACUUACCAGGUCCAGACAUAGUAAGGAUUGACAGAUUGAUAGCUCUUUCUUGAUUCUGUGGGUGGUGGUGCAUGGCCGUUCUUAGUUGGUGGAGUGAUUUGUCUGGUUAAUUCCGUUAACGAACGAGACCCCAGCCUGCUAAAUAGCGCGGCUGAGCUUUGCUCGGUGCGAGCUUCUUAGAGGGACUAUGAUGCGCGAUAGCACAUGGAAGUUUGGGGCAAUAACAGGUCUGUGAUGCCCUUAGAUGUUCUGGGCCGCACACGGGCUACACUGGCGCCUGCAACGAGCAUAUCAGCUGGCCCGAGAGGGUCUUGGCUAAUCUUUUGAACCGGCGCCGUGCUUGGGAUUGACCAUUGCAAUUGUUGGUCAUGCAACGAGGAAUGCCUUGUAAACGCGAGUCAUCAGCUCGCAUUGAAUACGUCCCUGCCCUUUGUACACACCGCCCGUCGCUCCUACCGAUGAAUGUUCCGAUGAAAUUUUCGGAGAGCGCCAGAGAACGGGGCUCCGCCUUGCAGAUCUGGAGGCUCAAAGUCACUUAAAUCUGAACAUUUCGAGGAAGGAGAAGUCGUAACAAGGUAGCCG
This 1218-nucleotide ribosomal RNA is filed under the name uncultured Rhizaria. Its description in RNAcentral is "SSU rRNA". It matches the Rfam family "Eukaryotic small subunit ribosomal RNA", at positions 577 to 1805 of the family's 1831-position model. The record is from RNAcentral.